Molecule: transfer RNA, 76 nt
Filed under: Gillisella vitis
Lineage: Bacteria; Pseudomonadati; Pseudomonadota; Alphaproteobacteria; Hyphomicrobiales; Rhizobiaceae
Also listed under: 57 other names
Description: Agrobacterium vitis (Allorhizobium vitis) tRNA-Thr
Rfam family: tRNA
About the family: Transfer RNA (tRNA) molecules are approximately 80 nucleotides in length. Their secondary structure includes four short double-helical elements and three loops (D, anti-codon, and T loops).
Source: RNAcentral
GCCCUUGUAGCUCAGUUGGUAGAGCACCUGAUUUGUAAUCAGGGGGUCGCGGGUUCGAAUCCUGCCGGGGGCACCA